CCUCAGUGCCAUCAUAUCGUUGCUGAGUUCUCGAUUCACAAAUCUCACUGAUACCCUAAAAGUGCUGAAUGUGACUUACCAGAGAAUUUCAAACACCUCCUAUGCACUCAUCUUCAACAUCAGCAUCAGUAAUAUUAGCAUUUCAGAGAACCGUGAAAUUGAGAACAACACCUACAGUCAAGUGGAGAACGCCAUCAAUAAUGCCCUAAACACACUGCUCAAUGCACCUAAUGCAGAUCCAUUUACACCCAAGUCCUCCAACUACACAUUAUCAGGAAAGCAGAUUGGAGGUGAAAUUGAGUACAGCUUUCAAAAUGGAGAUACUAAAAAUCCAGUCAACUAUCUCAGUGAGCUCCAGAAACAAAGCGGUAUUUAUACAUCAGGUCCUCCAUCAACUUCAAGCGUUCCACUGUUGUCUUCUACAGCCACUCCAAA
Silurus meridionalis is the source of this 435-nucleotide long non-coding RNA. RefSeq lists it as uncharacterized. The record is from RefSeq and is a predicted model, not a curated record. The transcript is spliced from 5 exons. NCBI's taxonomy places the organism in Eukaryota, Metazoa, Chordata, Actinopteri, Siluriformes, Siluridae.